This 549-nucleotide ribosomal RNA is filed under the name uncultured bacterium. RNAcentral's name for it is "bacterial SSU rRNA". It matches the Rfam family "Bacterial small subunit ribosomal RNA", at positions 356 to 896 of the family's 1533-position model. The record is from RNAcentral.
GGGGAAUCUUCCGCAAUGGACGAAAGUCUGACGGAGCAACGCCGCGUGAGUGAUGACGGCCUUCGGGUUGUAAAGCUCUGUUAAUCGGGACGAAAGGCCUUCUUGCGAAUAGUUAGAAGGAUUGACGGUACCGGAAUAGAAAGCCACGGCUAACUACGUGCCAGCAGCCGCGGUAAUACGUAGGUGGCAAGCGUUGUCCGGAAUUAUUGGGCGUAAAGCGCGCGCAGGCGGAUUGGUCAGUCUGUCUUAAAAGUUCGGGGCUUAACCCCGUGAUGGGAUGGAAACUGCCAAUCUAGAGUAUCGGAGAGGAAAGUGGAAUUCCUAGUGUAGCGGUGAAAUGCGUAGAUAUUAGGAAGAACACCAGUGGCGAAGGCGACUUUCUGGACGAAAACUGACGCUGAGGCGCGAAAGCCAGGGGAGCGAACGGGAUUAGAUACCCCGGUAGUCCUGGCCGUAAACGAUGGGUACUAGGUGUAGGAGGUAUCGACCCCUUCUGUGCCGGAGUUAACGCAAUAAGUACCCCGCCUGGGGAGUACGGCCGCAAGGUUG